AACGAACGCUGGCGGCAGGCCUAACACAUGCAAGUCGAGCGGACCUUUCGGGUUCAGCGGCGGACGGGUGAGUAACGCGUGGGAAUAUGCCCUUCUCUACGGAAUAGUCCUGGGAAACUGGGGGUAAUACCGUAUACGCCCUGCGGGGGCAAGAUUUAUCGGGGAAGGAUUAGCCCGCGUUGGAUUAGGUAGUUGGUGGGGUAAUGGCCUACCAAGCCGACGAUCCAUAGCUGGUUUGAGAGGAUGAUCAGCCACACUGGGACUGAGACACGGCCCAGACUCCUACGGGAGGCAGCAGUGGGGAAUCUUAGACAAUGGGGGCAACCCUGAUCUAGCCAUGCCGCGUGAGUGAUGAAGGCCUUAGGGUUGUAAAGCUCUUUCAGCUGGGAAGAUAAUGACGGUACCAGCAGAAGAAGCCCCGGCUAACUCCGUG
Molecule: ribosomal RNA, 433 nt
Filed under: uncultured bacterium
Lineage: Bacteria
Description: partial 16S ribosomal RNA
Rfam family: Bacterial small subunit ribosomal RNA
Source: RNAcentral